CCAGUCGGUCGGACGGCCGCGGCCGGGGAUCAGGGCUUUGCGGCUCAAUCCCGGCGGAGGAAAGUCCGGGCUCCAAGGAUCAACGGUGGCGGCUAACGGCCGCCGGGGGCGACCCCAGGGAAAGUGCCACAGAGAAGAGACCGCCCGCGCGGGACAACCCGCAACGGUAAGGGUGAAACGGUGCGGUAAGAGCGCACCGCGCGUCCGGCAACGGAAGCGGCACGGCAAACCCCACCGGGAGCAAAACCGAAUAGGGGCGGCACGGACGGGUGGGGCAACUCGCCCGCCCAGCGCGAUCCUCGCCGCCGCCCGGGUUGGUUGCUCGAGGCGCUGAGCAAUCCGCGCCCCAGAGGAAUGGCCGUCGCGGAGGCAACUCCAGACAGAACCCGGCUUACAGGCCGACUGGCGUC
This 410-nucleotide RNase P RNA is filed under the name Hyphomicrobiaceae bacterium. Its description in RNAcentral is "RNase P RNA component class A". It matches the Rfam family "Bacterial RNase P class A". From Rfam's summary of the family: Ribonuclease P (RNase P) is a ubiquitous endoribonuclease, found in archaea, bacteria and eukarya as well as chloroplasts and mitochondria. Lineage: Bacteria; Pseudomonadati; Pseudomonadota; Alphaproteobacteria; Hyphomicrobiales; Hyphomicrobiaceae. The record is from RNAcentral.